Molecule: ribosomal RNA, 350 nt
Filed under: Aschersonia sp. Ai
Lineage: Eukaryota; Fungi; Ascomycota; Sordariomycetes; Hypocreales; Clavicipitaceae
Description: eukaryotic LSU rRNA
Rfam family: Eukaryotic large subunit ribosomal RNA
Source: RNAcentral
AGUAACGGCGAGUGAAGCGGCAACAGCUCAAAUUUGAAAUCUGGCCCCUCCCCCGGGGGGGCCCGAGUUGUAAUUUGCAGAGGAUGCUUCUGGCGAGGCGCCUUCCGAGUUCCCUGGAACGGGACGCCACAGAGGGUGAGAGCCCCGUCUGGUCGGACACCGAGCCUCUGUGAAGCUCCUUCGACGAGUCGAGUAGUUUGGGAAUGCUGCUCUAAAUGGGAGGUAUAUGUCUUCUAAAGCUAAAUACCGGCCAGAGACCGAUAGCGCACAAGUACAGUGAUGGAAAGAUGAAAAGCACUUUGAAAAGAGGGUUAAACAGUACGUGAAAUUGUUGAAAGGGAAGCGCUCAC